UAAAACUUGGUACGUUGAAAUAAAAUUUCCCCUCAAUUUGCCUUUUAUUAGAAGAACAAAAUUUUGGGGCAACAAAAUUGGUGGCGGUGGUGGUGGUGGUGGUGAUGAUGAUGAUGAUGGAGGAAGAACGCCUGAAACGCCUGAAACGCCAUGAGUUGAUUGAGGAGGAACGCAAGAAGUUGUUGAUCGAGGAGGUAUUUUUGAGGCUUCCACCGCCGUCGGUGGCUCGAUUCAAAUCCAUUUCCAAGUGGUGGCGACGAUAUCUGUCCGAACCACCGUUCGUGGAUAGAUAUGAGGCUAGAAAUCUCUCGGUUUUAGGGUUUUUCUACCAGACAAACUACAAAAAGUUCGUUUUCAGAGCGAUCCCAUCCAAUCCCAAUCCCAAUCCCAAUGAUAAGAGUUCGAGUUCGAUUUCGAUUUCCACAGGCAAUCGCCUGCGAAUCGGUUUUGAGGGCCAUAUUGGAGCAUCAGAUAACACCCUGCUAGUCAUUAACUUUUCCAAUGGCCUACUCCUCCUCUACUCUUCAAUGCCUGUUCCUUACUAUGAGGUUUAUAAUCCUACUACCAGUGAUAAAGUCUCUGUCCGAUUCUCUUACGAUUACGAAACCUUUGCCACACGGUAUAUGGUAUUUGGAUUUGCUUUUGAUCCUUAUUCUACCCAUCCCUGCUUCACAAUCGUCGACAUUGCAGAUACUGGAGCCCGAUGAUUCAUAUCUGGAAAGUUACAUUAGCACUAUUGGAGUUGACUUCAAAAUCCGCACAGUUGAGCAGGAUGGAAAACCAUUAAACUCCAGAUUUCACAUGCACGCGAGUGCAUUGGAAACAAUGAUGACAGACAACAACAAUCUAGGGAGAAGAAAAUGCAAGAAAAGAGGAUACAGAGAGAACUAUAUAGGGUUUUAUCCCUUUAUUUAUUUAUUUAUUUUUGGGUCUCUACCUCUUUCUCCGUCCUCCAUGGCUCCGAAGGUGGAUUACAUAUCAUCGACAAGAAUUGCCUGGACUACUGAUUCAUGACACCCAAAGGCUAACGGACCACUAUCAUUGCGUCGAAGAGACCAUCUUCACAUGAAACAUCUCUACAAGCUUACCCCAUUUCUGUCUCGUCAGACCAUUGGAUCAGUACCAUCACGCCAUUUCCAUACAGGUAACGAAACUUCCAUUUCACUCUCUAUUUUCUGAAAUGGGUUUCUAUGAGUGAAAUAGUUUCGAACUGAUUUGAUUUCAGUUAUGAAAUGGUGUGAUUUCUUUGAAAUGGGUUUCCUAGAUAGUUUCUAUUUCUAUUUUCUGAAUCUGAAAUGGUUUUAUCAAAUGGUUUCAAUCUUUGAUUUCGGAUAUUGGUCAUUAGCACUCUGUCAAAUUGUAUUGGACAUGAGAACUCUAUUUUUUGGACUUUGGUCCUCAUGCUUUGUGAAUACUUGUAAUUUAAGUGCUCUCAUGCCUAAUAUUCUUCACUUAAUGAAUGUUAGGCAUGAUCAUGCUUCUUCACAAAAAGCAUUCCUAAUGAUUUCUGUGAAAUAGUUGUGAAAUGGGUCUCUUUCUAUGAAAUGAGUUUUAUGGUUUUCUCUUUAAUGGGUUUCAGGGGCUUCUAAUACAUUAAAAGGCAAGAAAUAAGGGAAAUCAAACAAAAAUGAAGUUGCUUCUGUUUCUAACUUUAACUAUCAACUAAAGUAAUAGGGGUUUCUCUAAUUAACUUUAGUUCAUAAAUUUUAUUAUUAAGUAGUGGUUAAUUUUUCCAUUGUGAUUCUGUGGGUGGUUUUCAUUCCAUUGUGAUUCAUGGUUCAUUAUCUUAUUAAUAAAUGUGAUUCAUGUUUCUAAUUUUCUUAUAAUUUUUUUAUGAUUCAUGUUUCUUAUGUUUAUAAUUUUCUUAUGAUUUUGUGAGUGAAAGGGUGAUUAUUUGAUUCAUGGUGUUGGAAGGAAUACUUUCAUUUUGUGCAGGUGAUGCUAUUGAUGUUGGAAGGACUAUUUUUUAUUUUAGGUAAGAAACAUCUUCUAUUCAUUUCUCAUGCUUAUUCUUAUUUUUAUUGGUUUACACAUUUUAAAUGUUAAAUAACUGUAAAUCCUUCAUUCACGUUUGUUUCCUGUGGUUUUUAAUAUUAGUGUUGGGAUUUUUGCUCUAUCCCAAAUUCCUUUUUAUUUAUAUUAAUAAUUGUUUUAGUUUAGUUUAGAUUUUGUGAGCAGUAUGUUAAAUUGGUGGUGUUUGGUUGGGUAGUGUUGGAACUCAUUAUUUUUAUGACAAAAUUUAUAGAGAAGAAAAAAAUGGGUUGAAGUCCUCUAUGCUACGAUAUCUACAGCAACGAGUAAUCUUUUCAUGGGUAGUUCAAAGAGAAUGAAUAUUGAUGAUUGCAUUAGCUCAUCAUUUAGUUUGUUUAUUUAUUUUAAGAGAAGUUAAGAGUU
Non-coding RNA from Camellia sinensis, 2394 nucleotides. The record is from RefSeq and is a predicted model, not a curated record. NCBI's taxonomy places the organism in Eukaryota, Viridiplantae, Streptophyta, Magnoliopsida, Ericales, Theaceae.